This 3087-nucleotide unclassified non-coding RNA is filed under the name Hermetia illucens (black soldier fly). Its description in RNAcentral is "transcription factor btd-like, transcript variant X3". Lineage: Eukaryota; Metazoa; Arthropoda; Insecta; Diptera; Stratiomyidae. The record is from RNAcentral.
CACAUUCUCAUAGGAGUAAUGAUCAAUUAUUUUGUCCUUAUUUUUUGGCAGAACUCUCUAAAUAAUUAGGUAGCUCUCUAAAUAUUAGGUACCACCCAUAUUCUAGCCUUUCUGCAUUAUUUUACGAUCAAUCCUUACACUUUUCUUUUGUUUGCAAUGUGUAGGAGGUAACAGCCAACUUAUCCCCAGGUACUCUGACAAAGCCAGUUUCUUUUUAAUUAUUUUUAAUUCGACUAUUCCUGUCCCCAGCCUUAAGUAGAAUAUAUGUAAGCGCAGGUAAUUAGUUUUGGGGAACUGCUACUAGCAUAAUUGUUAACACUUGGUACCAACUAAAAUUAGUUUUGGGUGUUUAUUAUGGUGCGCUCUUAGGUAAUGGCACUUGAAUGGAUUGGGUUGUCAGUAAGUAUUUAGAAGAGAAGUAGUUGCAUAGUCUCUACUUAUCAAAAACAACUAUCUACUUUUUCGAUGCACGGCACUGCUUCCUUUCAACAAAUCUUAGCUCCCUAAAAUUAAGGAUGCUGCGUAACAUCUCCUCGCAGAAAUCCUUCCUCUGAUAAUCGCCUGGGUCACAUAAUUUUCCAAUCUUCAUGGAUUUUUUCUCGUUUAACGCAUGACCUGCACUCCAUCUCACUUACACGACCAAAUGGUACCACAGAUGAAUGGGAUGCUGGAUGCUGUGUCCCGUGCUCUCUGCUCUUACCGGGUUUGAGCAUUGUCAUUUUGGGGUGUCGGACACGCCCAUUUAAAUACAGUUAUUUCAUUGGAUCGCGUGUGUCAUCCCGCGUGCAAUCCCUCUCACACGUACCAAGCUGCACAAGCUACGUACGGGAUUCGGGGGCAAGUCACCAGAUGAGAAAUUCAUGUAUGGAUGGCCGAUACAGCAAGAACAGCACAACGGUCCGCAUCGCUUGAGUAGCCAUCGAGUGUGGAUAUGUGUGCAUGUGUAUGGGUUGGUGCACGGAUUUUUUGGUACACGACUGGGCACAGCAUCCAGCGAGAAACCAGAUUUCCUCUCGGCCGCUUUGGGCAUCUUUUGGUUUUUUCGGAUUUGCUUUAGUAUAUUUCGGAUCUCGACGAGUGAGUGCGAGGCUUACGGCUAGGUGGUGCGUGGUCUAUGCUGGGAAAUCUUAAAAGAUCUUAAGGAGCGAGCGUGUGUGCCCUGAAAAGUGCGUUUCUUAGGUACUAUGUAUUUGUGCCGUUUGCUUUUCGCAAGGAUUCCGAGAUGUGGGAGUGAAUGAAAAGGAACGUGCUGUAAUCAUCCCCGUUUUGUCCUUUUUCCAUUUGCCUGAGUCUACAUAUACACACUACGCUCAGACCUAUUUUGUUGUUGUCCUCCGUUAGGAUUUCGAUUUUUGAUUUUGGUCCUUCGUUUCUUUGAAUCUGGGAUUUUGUUUAUGGACCUUGCGAGCGGUCAUGCUCGAGGGCAAAAUAGUCAAAUAAAAAAUCAGUUUCCGUUCGGCCGUGUCCUGAGAUAGUACUUAAUUGCAGUGCACACGUUGCGGACUUCUCGGACUGCGUGACGUAACAUUGUUGAUUGCAGAGAGUUAUUAUUGCUGAGAAAAUAACGUGUUUUUGCCUUAACAGAUCGUAGUAAGGAACAUACAAUUACACAAAAUUAGAACGAUAAAAUAAUGUGUAGUUCAAAAGUGCGCAUAUAGUGCAGUUGAUAUUUAAAGUCUAAACUAUUCGGCGGCUGGAACGUGUUGAGAGUGUGUAAUUAUGUGGAAACUUUAUUAGAUCAAGACGAUUUUAGACAUUAUCCUUUGGGAAAUAUUGACAUUAGUCGUGGAACCGAUUGAAUAAAAAAUAAAACAUUGAACAUUAUGAUGGAAAAAACUACUCCUGCAAAUUAUUUUGGACUACAGGCCCCCGAAAAAUCCUUAAAUGGAAGACCGGUAGAAAGUCAGCAUUAGUGCCUGCCAUGGUGGUCACUAAUUGCUCGUGGCAUGAUGCAUAAAUGCAUAGAAGUAUAAAUAAUGCAUCAAAUAAAUUUUCAUCUACUUUCUAAGGAUCUAUUUGUAAUCAAACGAUUGACAAUUUCAAGUCCCACUCCGCUUCGACGGUUAACUAAUCAGUCUAGAGUCCCUUCGAUGAGCUAGAAUAUAUUAUUUUUUUUUUUUGCGAGGGAUCUUGACGCUUUUUGUUUUUAAUCUAUUCAUUCCAGUUUUAAAUCUGUAGAAACUAUUUGGCGCAGCAUCUUCACUAAGGAUACUGUGAAAAUGCAAUACUUAUUCUUUUACACAAAUCAAAUUGACAGUUAUCAAAUAUAAUAUUAUGUACAUUUGUAGUUAUCUACUUCAUCAGAUUUAGUUACUUCCUUUAACUUAUAAUUUCUAUAUCUUAUAAUUUAUUAGAGUUUGCACAUUGUGGAAGUAUUUUUUAGGGCAAUGAUGUUAAAACCCAUAGUUUUCCACUGUUGAAGACUUAAUAAUCUCCUCCAGGGAUGAAAUAAAUUCAAUGGGUACCUCACAUACAGUGUACGGCCAUCAAAUGUUCUGACCACAAGCGUGAUGAAAAAUAAAAAUUUCAAGGAUUUUUUCCGUGUUUAUUAUAGUUUUGAGGAAUAAAAUCACGCUUCAUCACUUUGUACUGAUGAAGGAAGUAAGUUGCUCCCGAAAUAUAUAUAUACAUAAUAAAAUAAAAUUGUAGUUUGGAGUAAGCUACUGGUCUAUCAAUUUUAGAAUUAACUACAAAUAGAAGACAAUAUCUAACCUCACACUUCAUCUGAUUCCACGAAUCAAGUCUCAUUAUUUUACAACCGGAAAAAUUUUAUUCACAAAGUAUGGAUCAAAGAACAGCUGAAGUUUUUGGUUUUCUAGUGAGUAGAAGUUCGCCAGUAGAAUCCAAGUUAUAUAGGAAAUACACGUGUGUAUAAAAAAAUUCUUUUAUUAUAAAAUUUUCUUUUUUAUUGAUAAGAAAGAACUAGGAAAAUAACAAUUUUUUAAUCGGGUUAUUAUUUUCUACAUUUAUAUUUGGUGGUCAGAGUUGAAAUUCGUUAAAGGGGUUAUGCUACUGUAGCUUCGCAAAAAAAGUAGCCUACGUAUUUUGGGUUUUAUUUUCAGCGGAGAAUAAAAUAUAUAAAAAUUC